Molecule: ribosomal RNA, 414 nt
Filed under: Rhodococcus qingshengii
Lineage: Bacteria; Bacillati; Actinomycetota; Actinomycetes; Mycobacteriales; Nocardiaceae
Description: bacterial SSU rRNA
Rfam family: Bacterial small subunit ribosomal RNA
Source: RNAcentral
AUGCAGUCGAGCGGUAAGGCCUUUCGGGGUACACGAGCGGCGAACGGGUGAGUAACACGUGGGUGAUCUGCCCUGCACUUCGGGAUAAGCCUGGGAAACUGGGUCUAAUACCGGAUAUGACCUCCUAUCGCAUGGUGGGUGGUGGAAAGAUUUAUCGGUGCAGGAUGGGCCCGCGGCCUAUCAGCUUGUUGGUGGGGUAAUGGCCUACCAAGGCGACGACGGGUAGCCGACCUGAGAGGGUGACCGGCCACACUGGGACUGAGACACGGCCCAGACUCCUACGGGAGGCAGCAGUGGGGAAUAUUGCACAAUGGGCGAAAGCCUGAUGCAGCGACGCCGCGUGAGGGAUGACGGCCUUCGGGUUGUAAACCUCUUUCAGCAGGGACGAAGCGCAAGUGACGGUACCUGCAGAAG